This 521-nucleotide ribosomal RNA is filed under the name uncultured bacterium. RNAcentral's name for it is "partial 16S ribosomal RNA". It matches the Rfam family "Bacterial small subunit ribosomal RNA", at positions 28 to 523 of the family's 1533-position model. The record is from RNAcentral.
GACGAGCGCUGGCGGCGUGCCUAAUACAUGCAAGUCGAGCGGGCCUCCGGAGGUGCUUGCACCUCCGGAAGGCCAGCGGCGGACGGGUGAGUAACACGUGGGCAACCUGCCUUUGAGGCCGGGAUAACACCGGGAAACCGGUGCUAAUACCGGAUGCGUCCCCUUUCGCGCCUGCGAGAGGGGAGAAAGACGGUCUUUAAGGCCGUCGCUCAAAGAGGGGCCCGCGGCGCAUUAGCUGGGUGGUGGGGGAAGGGCCUACCAAGGCGACGAUGCGUUGCCGACCUGAGAGGGUGAUCGGCCACACUGGGACUGAGACACGGCCCAGACUCCUGCGGGAGGCAGCAGUAGGGAAUCAUCCGCAAUGGGCGAAAGCCUGACGGUGCAACGCCGCGUGAGUGAGGAAGGUUUUCGGAUCGUAAAGCUCUGUUGUGAGGGAAGAACAGCUUCCGGAGGAAAUGCCGGAGGUUUGCCGGUACCUCACCAGAAAGCCCCGGCUAACUACGUGCCAGCCGCCGCCGUAA